This 868-nucleotide ribosomal RNA is filed under the name Mesobiotus polaris. RNAcentral's name for it is "SSU rRNA". It matches the Rfam family "Eukaryotic small subunit ribosomal RNA", at positions 64 to 933 of the family's 1831-position model. Lineage: Eukaryota; Metazoa; Tardigrada; Eutardigrada; Parachela; Macrobiotidae. The record is from RNAcentral.
UACUUGCUUUAACAAGGCGAAACCGCGAAUGGCUCAUUAAAUCAGUUAUGGUUCACUAGAUCGUAAAUCCUACACGGAUAACUGUGGUAAUUCUAGAGCUAAUACGUGCAAACGGCUCGUUCCCUUGUGGAGCGAGCGCAGUUAUUAGAACAAAACCAAUCCGGCCUUCGGGUCGGUUAAAAUGGUGACUCUGAAUAACCGAAGCGGAGCGUAUGGUCUCGUACCGACGCCAGAUCUUUCAAGUGACUGCUCUAUCAGCUUGUUGCUAGGUUAUGCUCCUAGCAAGGCUUCAACGGGUAACGGGGUAUCAGGGUCCGAUACCGGAGAGGGAGCCUGAGAAACGGCUACCACAUCCAAGGAAGGCAGCAGGCGCGCAAAUUACCCACUCCCAGCACGGGGAGGUAGUGACGAAAAAUAACGAUGCGAGGGCAUAUUGCUUCUCGUAAUCGGAAUGGGUACACUUUAAAUCCUUUAACGAGGAUCUAUUGGAGGGCAAGUCUGGUGCCAGCAGCCGCGGUAAUUCCAGCUCCAAUAGCGUAUAUUAAAGUUGCUGCGGUUAAAAAGCUCGUAGUUGGAUCUGGGCAGCUGGAUGUGCGGUGCGCUUUACAGCGUUACUGCUCGUUUGGCGCCACAAGCCGGCCAUGUCUUGCAUGCUCUUCACUGCGUGUGCUUGGCGACCGGAACGUUUACUUUGAAAAAAUUAGAGUGCUCAAAGCAGGCGUAUGGCCUUGCAUAAUGGUGCAUGGAAUAAUGGAAUAGGACCUCGGUUCUAUUUUGUUGGUUAUCGGAGCUCGAGGUAAUGAUUAAGAGGAACAGACGGGGGCAUUCGUAUUGCGGCGUUAGAGGUGAAAUUCUUGGAUCGUCGCAA